GUGAAAUCAUAUGGUACUUGUCUUUCUCUGACUGGCUUAUUUCACUUACUACCAUAAUAAUCUCCAGGUCCAUGCAUGCUGUGGCAAAAGGCUACCCAUAUUUCAAGUGCUCAGCAGCCUGGCUACCAUAUUGGACAGUGAACCUUUAGAAGUCUAUCUCCAAUAAUUAUGUAAACUGUUUCAGGAAUACUCGUUGUUAAAGAGAGAGUGGAAGAGAGGGAAACAUCGACAGACAAAUUAUAGGAAGAUCUCCUAAGCCUGAAUGAGGGGCCAGAAAAAUGGAAGAAUGCUUUCAGAAGGCACCAGCACAUUACAGUUCUACAGCCACACGUUAAAUAAGGGUUUGGACACUGUUACAUUGACACUGCUGAGCAGCAACAAUGGAAGAAGGAAGUGAGGAAGUGACUACAGGAAUCCAGGGACGAGAAAUUGUUGCUUAGACCCCGUGACAGUAAAAGAGGCAAGAAGUGAUGGAUUCUGGAUGUAUCUGAAGGUAUAGACUUUGCUGAUCAAUUGGAUUUAGGUAUGAGAGACAAGAGGAGCCAGCAUAACUCCAAAGACUCAGCAUGAGCAACUGGAUAUAUUGUCAAUAUUUGCAUUUUACAAGAAAGAUAACUAGAUAUUAUUCCAAAGCGUAUAGUCUUCCCACAAUGCUUCAUUGAGGAAAAAGGCAACUGAAAUUAUGUGCAUAUAGCAUCUACCACACGAUUACAGACUUUUCAUUUUACAAAUGAAGGUUUAAUAAUUGGUAAUAUCACCCUGACUUAUGGGAUUUAUUGUUCAACAAUAAAUUAUUGACACACAUGGUAUAGGCUGGAAAGAGGAUAGGAAAUUUAUAGAUGACAGAAUCAUAUCAGGUUAUCUAGGGAUACUUGGGUAGAGCUCCACAUUCUUGAGGCUGAUGGCAUGAUAAAUUAUCCAUAGAAUCUCCUUGGAAACCAAUGUUUGACAGAAGGAGAUGGAGAACAGACUUUCCUACGAUUAGAUAGGCAAACACUGUUUUGCUCUGGCUUCUUCG
This is a long non-coding RNA of Eptesicus fuscus (big brown bat), 1018 nucleotides long. RefSeq lists it as uncharacterized. The transcript is spliced from 4 exons. The record is from RefSeq and is a predicted model, not a curated record. Lineage: Eukaryota; Metazoa; Chordata; Mammalia; Chiroptera; Vespertilionidae.